GGGGGGGGGUGAGGCGUGAGGAGAGACCCGGGUGUCGGGAGACCCGGGGCACGGGAGACUACGGAGAGGCGGCGGAAGCGAGCCCAGGGUGGCCGCCGACGGGGGGACGGCGGGGGCAGACGAGGCCCGCGGUCGUUGCCGCAGAGCCUGCGAGCGCCCGGGCUGCUUCCCUCUGCUCGCUAUUUCCCCCACACAUCCAGCGCCUCAGACCUCCCUUCUUCCUUCCUCGCUGCUGACUAGAACGCAGCCGCGGGCGGAAGUGCGGGUGACGCCAUCAGCCGUCGCCAGAGCGCGGGCGCGCGGGCGGCCGAGAGACGAAAGUGAGAUUUGGAGGGCGCGGGGCGGUCCUGUGAGCCGGACGCGGGCGCCGGCCCCGCCAGGUCCGCGUGGGGCCUCCCUCUCGACGGUCAUGGCGUCGUGGAACGGAAGGAGCCCCCUUGGCUUCAGUCGAAGCGCUGAGGCGUAGACUUCCCGGACCCGAGGUUCCACUUGCGCGGUAGGAAGGGCUUCGGUUAGGUGUUGCCUGCGCUGACGACGACUUUGAGGCUUCCAAGAAGAAGGAAGAAGACGGGAGAAGGAAGUCCGCCAGGCUGCCAAGACGCUUCACGGGACGACCCCAUCGGUUCUUCCACCCGUCGGCGACUCCCGCCCUUACCUGCGGAGUGAGCAUGGUCAACCCUCACGUCUGUGUGUGCAUCUCCGGGAGGGAGUAUUGUGAACGGGGGGGGGGGGGGGCAGGGGGUUCGAGUUCAUUGGCAGGCACGUGGAGAACUGCCAGGACUUUUGAAGUAAUAGCGUAGCUCAUUGGACUCAGAAUUAUUCCCUUUCUGGUACAAUAAGAGGACAGUGGCCUAAGGACAACGAAGCAGACACCGAAGGCAGAUGUACUGGCACAGGAUGAAAAAGUAUGUCUCAGCUGACAUAGUUGCCAUUUUAAGACUGCUGAGUGCAAUUGAGCGUGCCUGCAUUUUUUUUUCUUUUUAGCAUUUUUUUUUUCUUUUUAGCAUUGGCAUUCCGUAUGAAAUGUGGGCAGUUGCCAGUACUCUGCAGAGUACUAUGGCAGAAUUGGCAAUGACUGAAUCGGUUCAUUCAAACAGAAACUCAUCAUAUUCCUACUGUGUGCAUAGUUUUCUUUCUUUCUUUCUUUCUUUUUUUUUUUUAAAUCAAAGUCUCUACUUCUAGGGGCUUUUGAUGUAAUAAGUGCCGUAGUAAAAGACACACGCUAAGCUGACUAUCCACCUGUCUGUCCCUCUCCUACGGCAGUUGCUGAGUUCCCGUGCAGAACACCACACUGGAUUGUGUGUCCCACCCACUACAGCUGUAGGUUCUAGAACCUCGGCUGGGUUCCUCUCUCCUACUCUGUAUAUCCAUCAGCACCUUCUUUUCUCUUCUCACCAGAACACUUUUUUUUUGAAUUUUUUUUUGACUUAUUUAUUUAUGAUAGUCACAGAGAGAGAGAGAGAGGCAGAGACAUAGGCAGAGGGAGAAGCAGGCUCCAUGCACCGGGAGCCCGACGUGGGAUUCGAUCCCGGGUCUCCAGGAUCGCGCCCUGAGCCAAAGGCAGGCGCCAAACUGCUGCGCCACCCAGGGAUCCCCCAGAACACUUUUUACGGUCUUAAGUCCCGGCCACAUUUCAUUGUAUGACUUUACUUCAAAUGUCAAAAGAAGAUUGAUGCCCCCCACAUUUCUGGUUCCACACUAUUUCCUUUCCUUCACAAUCCUUUAAGAGGAUUCUGUGUUCAAUAUCUCUGUUGUCUGAAUGUAACUCAUUAACCCUUUGCAUUCUAACUUCUGUACCUAUCACACUAGGAAAAGCACUCACUUUAAUUCCAUUAUUAGAAGAAAAUAAAUGUUUAUCUUUUCCAUAGUAGCAAAAUGAAUAUCUUUUUUUUUAAUUUUUAUUUAUUUUUUAUGAUAGUCACACAGAGAGAGAGAGAAAGAGGGGGGCAGAGACACAGGCAGAGGGAGAAGCAGGCUCCACGCACCGGAAGCCCGACGUGGGAUUCGAUCCCAGGUCUCCAGGAUCGUGCCCUGGGCCAAAGGCAGGCGCCAAACCGCUGCGCCACCCAGGAACCCCCAAAAUGAAUAUCUUAUUGGGACUAGUAGGAUAUAGUCAAGCCUGUUAAAAUAGAGCCCCUGCAGUGACUUUCUGUUAUUUUUAUAUAGCUUUUGUUGUCGUUUGGUUGGUUGGUUGUUUUAUUGUUUUUGUGUGUGUCUGUGUUUUUGUUUUUGUUGUUUUUCAGAGCCUUGUGUCAGAGACUUGACUAGCCAUUCAGGAAACAUUUCUUCUUCCUGGACGUAUAGCUAGUCUGAAUUUCCCAGUUUCCUUUGCAAGUUGGAGCCAUGUAGUUGACUUUUAGCCAGUGAAAUGUGAGUGGAAGUGGUGCACUCAUUUCCAGGCUUAAUAAAGUUCCUCCCGUCUUCCCUUA
Molecule: long non-coding RNA, 2429 nt
Organism: Nyctereutes procyonoides (raccoon dog)
Lineage: Eukaryota; Metazoa; Chordata; Mammalia; Carnivora; Canidae
Exons: 2
Source: RefSeq, a predicted model, not a curated record